UAGGGAAUAUUGGGCAAUGGAGGGAACUCUGACCCAGCCAUGCCGCGUGCAGGAUGAAGGCGUUAUGCGUUGUAAACUGCUUUUAUAUAGGAAGAAAUAGUCCUUGCGAGGAAAGUUGACGGUACUAUAUGAAUAAGCACCGGCUAACUCCGUGCCAGCAGCCGCGGUAAUACGGAGGGUGCAAGCGUUGUCCGGAUUUAUUGGGUUUAAAGGGUGCGUAGGCGGUUUAUUAAGUCAGUGGUGAAAGACGGUCGCUCAACGAUUGCAGUGCCAUUGAUACUGGUAGACUUGAGUAUGAUUGAGGUAGCUGGAAUGGAUAGUGUAGCGGUGAAAUGCAUAGAUAUUAUCCAGAACACCAAUUGCGUAGGCAAGUUACUAAGUCAUAACUGACGCUGAGGCACGAAAGUGUGGGUAUCAAACAGGAUUAGAUACCCCAGUAGUCCCUGAGCGGGCUGGCAAGGCG
RNAcentral lists this ribosomal RNA (463 nucleotides) under uncultured bacterium. RNAcentral describes it as "bacterial SSU rRNA". It matches the Rfam family "Bacterial small subunit ribosomal RNA", at positions 355 to 822 of the family's 1533-position model. The record is from RNAcentral.